Long non-coding RNA from Portunus trituberculatus (swimming crab), 1496 nucleotides. RefSeq lists it as uncharacterized. The record is from RefSeq and is a predicted model, not a curated record. The transcript is spliced from 2 exons. Lineage: Eukaryota; Metazoa; Arthropoda; Malacostraca; Decapoda; Portunidae.
UUAAACAUUGUCAAACUAGUGCUAUUUACAACCGUCUCUGGCAAUGCAUUCCACUGGGCCCGUACUUAUAAACACUAAGAUGACGUCCUAACGGUAAGAAGUCGUCCUAAAUCACAAAAAUGGCGGAAUUCGAGUCUUAAAUCCUUAAGACGGCAUCCUAAGCCCUAAAGAUGCGUCUUACUGCUAAAACACCUCCCGAGGUGUUUUAGCAGUAAAGCGCGGUUCACACGAGGAAUGUUUACCCAUGUUCCGGGAACAAGUUUUCCAAUGUUCCGGGAAUUUAUUCCACCGAUGUUCACACGGUACUGAAGUUUAUUCCUGAGACGGCAGACCGAUAUCGCGACAAGAUCAAGCAUCCUGGUGGUCAACUCAAGUGUUUGUUUACAAGCACCACCAUGCCGAGCCACGCACACCACAUCAACCACAAUCGACGACAACAAGUUUGCAGAUGAUACUAAGAUAGCAUGUGCAGUACAGGGUGAAAAGGACAAUUACAGAAUACAACGAGACCUGGACAGGCUGAUAGCAUGGGCAGACAGCAAUGGGGCCACUUCAUUCUUGCCAUAUGUCUGAUGAGGGAACGGGAUGAACAACCCCGUGUUUGGACACGUCCCUGGCUAUCAAGGAGGCGUCAGGAGAGCGUGUACUUCCGACUGGUGAGGGAGUUGUCGCUAGAAGACCCAGGUGCACUUCGGGAAUGGAUUCACCUGGACAAAAUGUAGAGUUGCAUAGAGGUCAGUGGCACCAGCAUCCACAUGGUGGACUUGAAAGGCUGCUAUUGGUAGCUAGAGGUCAUGCACAAGAUGCCAAGGGAGUCAGAGAAACUUUAAAGCAAUAUUUCAAUAAUGCAGGUAAAGUACCUUGGCAAGAUGUAAUGUGCUUUCUACACUAGGCUAUGCAUAAAUGUUUGUGUUUUGUAUGUAUGUGUGUGCAUUUUACAUAGUGACCUGUCUCCAUAUCUCCAUUUGUCUAAUUUUUGCUCAAAGUUUUGCACAUUGUGCUGCAACUACCUCCUCAUUUAAAGCUUUCCACUUUUCCACUGUUCUAUGUGGAAAACUAUUCUUUCCAAUGUCCUUCACACACCAUCUUUGUAGCUGUACUCUAUCCUUUUUUAGAUUCCUUAUAUCUUUCAAUAGGUUAGAUGAAAACACCACUGCUGUAUACUCUAAUUUAGGUAUUAUUAUGCCAGUAGUAAUUUUGUCAUCAUAUCCUUGUCAUAUAAUUAAAUGCAACUGUAAUACUUGAUAAUAUUUUCUAUGUUACUCCAUAUAUCUUGCCUGCUAUGUGGGACUGUAUCAAAAGCCUUUUUUAUAUUUAAAUAUGCUGUAACCACCCAGCCAUCUCUAUUAUCUAGUGUGAAGAGGUGUGUGUGUGUGUGUGUGUGUGUGUGUGUGUGUGUCAGUUUGGGUAGAGGGUGGCAGGAGGUGGAGAGUGUUUAUGCACACUUUUCAAGUGCAUUACAUUAUAAGAGGCAAGGAAAUAAAGAGACAACCUUA